MicroRNA from Caenorhabditis elegans, 22 nucleotides. The record is from Ensembl. NCBI's taxonomy places the organism in Eukaryota, Metazoa, Nematoda, Chromadorea, Rhabditida, Rhabditidae.
UAGCACCAUAUAAAUUCAGUAA